AAUUUUAUCAUUUGGGCCUACUUGACUAAUUUUGUGUUUAAAAUUUAAUUUCAGGAGAAUUAUAAGCAAUUGGGCUUGAAUCCAAAAUUGAGCUUGGACUUGAAGAGAGCAGACAAUUUUAUUUUAUCAAAUCUUAUCUUAUCCAGAUUUUAUUUCAUCUAGAUUUUAUUUCAUCCAAUCUUAUCUUAUCUUGUCCAGAUUUUAUUUUAUUUCGUUUAUGGGCUUGGACUUAAAAUAGAUUUAUAAGCUUUGGGGCUAAGGACCUAUAUAACAGCACCAGGGUUUUAGUUUAGG
Molecule: long non-coding RNA, 294 nt
Filed under: Glycine max (soybean)
Lineage: Eukaryota; Viridiplantae; Streptophyta; Magnoliopsida; Fabales; Fabaceae
Description: long non-coding RNA (GMAX_LNC004550)
Source: RNAcentral